Molecule: long non-coding RNA, 819 nt
Filed under: Felis catus (domestic cat)
Lineage: Eukaryota; Metazoa; Chordata; Mammalia; Carnivora; Felidae
Description: lncRNA (ENSFCAG00000052456.1)
Source: RNAcentral
AGAGCGCAGGGCCGGCCCGCUCACCUCCGGCGGCGCCGGCGCCCCUCCCGUUAGACGCCUGGGCAGCAUCUGCCCGCACCUUCCUGCGGGGCGCUUGGCUGGGGGCUUCCUGCACGUCGGGGACCGGGGAAAGGGAGUCGGGGGGCAGGGGGAAGGACGGGAGGGACAGCCAGACCUUGGCCAGCUGGACCUCCUGAGGAAGGUGCGGGAGAGUGGGGCGGGUACAGCCGGGCGGAAGACGAAUCCCGAGGCUGCGGAGGAUCCGGAGCUUCUCUCCUGCGACGCCGAAGGACACGAGAGUUCUGAGAGGCGCCGUGGAGGAAGGAGACCCUCUGAGGUCAUGCAAGCAGGUCUCUGCCCAAAUCCCACCGAAAAGCUGAAUGGAGGAGUGUCAUGCCUCGGUUUCCCCAACUGCAAGGGCAAGACGCAUCUUCAUUGACUCUCAGUCCCACUUGGAGGAAAGAGUAAAAACGCCAAAAUCAGCUCAAAGGCCUACAGUUAUCUGACCACAGGUUAUUAUGACACAAAGGUGGAGGGCCAGACACCUUAUCAGCAAAUGAAUAUGUCCUUCAGGAUCCAGCAUGUAAGUAUACAGGUAACGGGGUAGACAAUAUUUAGAAUACAUGGACCCAGAACUGGAAUGUGGAAAAUCCCCCCACACCUUAAUAUAGGGGAAAGAAGUUUGGUAGAGAUUUUUCCAUAUUUGACAAUAAUCUUAAAAAUGUAUGUAACUUUUCCAAUAAUGAACUGUAGACUGGAAAGAAACUCUUCUAAAGUAUCAAUAAUAAAAAGAAAUUUCAAUCAACUACGCUAAUGGAA